CCUACGGGUGGCAGCAGUCGAGAAUCAUUCACAAUGGGGGAAACCCUGAUGGUGCGACGCCGCGUGGGGGAAUGAAGUUCUUCGGAUUGUAAACCCCUUUCAUGUGGGAGCAAAUUCAAAAGAUAGUACCACAAGAGGAAGAGACGGGUAACUCUGUGCCAGCAACCGCGGUAAUACAGAGGUGUCAAGCGUUGUUCGGAAUCACUGGGCGUAAAGCGUGCGUAGGCUGUUUCGUAAGUCGUGUGUGAAAGGCGCGGGCUCAACCCGCGGCUGGCACAUGAUACUGCGAGACUAGAGUAAGGGAGGGGGAAGCGGAAUUCUCGGUGUAGCAGUGAAAUGCGUAGAUAGCGAGAGGAACACUCGUGGCGAAGGCGGGUUGCUGGACCUUAACUGACGCUGAGGCACGAAGGCCAGGGGAGCGAAAGGGAUUAGAUACCCCUGUAGUC
Molecule: ribosomal RNA, 446 nt
Filed under: uncultured bacterium
Lineage: Bacteria
Description: partial 16S ribosomal RNA
Rfam family: Bacterial small subunit ribosomal RNA
Source: RNAcentral